UUAGAGGGUAUUGUACUCUUUCAUUCUCAAAUGAUAUACGACGUGGAUAUCUCUUCUUCCACCUUUUCCUUUAUUUAGUAAAAAUUUGCCAUCGUGUUGGGAUUUUAACUUCUUGGAUGUGCAGACUUCAUUUCAUUGCAUGAUCGCUUGUACUUGCAACCAGGGCACCUCCUCGGGGUGACGGUGGGCAACAGAACCAUCUGGCAGAGUCCCUGGGUUAACGGCGUGUAAACAGUUAUAGUUGAU
Molecule: long non-coding RNA, 246 nt
Organism: Cotesia glomerata
Lineage: Eukaryota; Metazoa; Arthropoda; Insecta; Hymenoptera; Braconidae
Exons: 3
Source: RefSeq, a predicted model, not a curated record